AAUCACUUGUCAGAAUCUUCCUAAACAUCGUGUCGGAUUCAGGAAAUGGAGGAAAGACAGCUCCAGCGUUUGAUAGGUGUGAAUGCUUUUGGGUUAACUUUCUCCUUUAUUGCUUCGUAGAAAGAAGCAGCUCCUUUGCCGACAGGGGAGAUGGCAGCAACCAAGGGAAAUGAAAGAGGAGGACUGAACAUACUGCAAAGGGAGGAAAAAAGGGAAUGGCCAAACAAAAACGGAGCCAGCUCUGCCUCCAGCCCUCCUCACCACCUUGCAGCUAGAGCCGCCCAGGAAACACUGAGAUGCUGCAGUGCUAACCAUCUUCAUACAGUCUGUCCUUGUGCUUCAAGGCACCGUUGGGAGCCCAAGGUAAAUGGGUCAGUUAAUGUGAAGUCACGUACUAAACAGUGCCAUCAUAUUCUUAGUGUGAUGCAAAAGCAAAUACAAGCACUGCAGUCUUUGUGCUGCUUUUGGAGUAGGGACAUAAAAAAAGAAACAUGACAAUUAACAAUAAAGGCAUGUAAAAGAUGCA
RNAcentral lists this long non-coding RNA (526 nucleotides) under Anas platyrhynchos platyrhynchos (common mallard). RNAcentral describes it as "lncRNA (ENSAPLG00000018844.1)". Lineage: Eukaryota; Metazoa; Chordata; Aves; Anseriformes; Anatidae. The record is from RNAcentral.